This 322-nucleotide ribosomal RNA is filed under the name uncultured eukaryote. Its description in RNAcentral is "partial 18S ribosomal RNA". It matches the Rfam family "Eukaryotic small subunit ribosomal RNA", at positions 1470 to 1796 of the family's 1831-position model. The record is from RNAcentral.
CCCUUAGAUGUUCUGGGCCGCACGCGCGCUACGCUGAUGCGUUCAACAAGUUUCCUUGGCCGAGAGGCCUGGGCAAUCUUCUUAAUAUGUAUCGUGAUAGGGAUAGAUUAUUGCAAUUAUUAAUCUUGAACGAGGAAUUCCUAGUAAACGCAGAUCAUCAAUCUGCAUUGAUUACGUCCCUGCCCUUUGUACACACCGCCCGUCGCACCUACCGAUUGGAUGUUCCGGUGAAGCCUCGGGAUGAGGACUGGUGCCUUUAUUGGCAUGAGUUGUUCAGAACUUGUCUAAACCUUAUCAUCUAGAGGAAGGUGAAGUCGUAACA